ACACCUUCGAAAGAGCAGCGAAGGUGUCCUAAGUUGAGCUCAGUGAGGACAGAAAUCUCACGUUGAGGAUAAGGCCAAAAGCUCAAUUUACUGUGCCUUUUUGUACUAGGAUCAGUUACGAAAGUAAGGCCUAACGAUCCCUAAAUAGCCUCAGGUGCGUGAGGAUUGGGGUGACAGACAAGUUACCUCCGGGACAACUGGCUUGUGGCUGCUAAGAGAUCAAAUCAACGCAGCUUUUUGAUUCUUCGAUGUCGGCUCUUCCUAUCCUAGUGAUGUACAAGUUGCUAAGGGUCGGAUUGUUCACCCGUAUUAGGGAUCGUGAGCUGGGUUUAGACCGUCGUGAGCCAGGUUUGUUUUAUCCUACUGGAUAUAGCAUCAUGAUAGUAGAUUGAUUUAGUACGAGAGGAACUGUUGAUUAUGGCCUCUGGUUAGCGAUUAUCGGAAACGGUAUGUCGCGCAGCUACGCCGUCUGGGAUAAUGGCUGAAAGCCUCUUAAGCCAGAAGCCCAUCUAGAAAGUGAUGCACGUGAUGUUGGACCGAUACGAAUAAUCAUACUCAAAAGGUCCGCUUCAUAGGUAACCCAAUGUAGAAGACAUUGUGUGAACGAAGGUACUGUAAGCAGUGGAGUGGCAUUACGUCCACGACCUGUUGAGGUUCAGCUUCGCUUCUAGGUUUCC
Molecule: non-coding RNA, 677 nt
Filed under: Trichomonas vaginalis G3
Lineage: Eukaryota; Parabasalia; Trichomonadida; Trichomonadidae
Description: Eukaryotic large subunit ribosomal RNA
Rfam family: Eukaryotic large subunit ribosomal RNA
Source: Rfam by way of RNAcentral